AAACGCUUAGGACCCGACAGUGCAGCGUGGGGGUGGCUGUUCACCAGGUUCUUUGGGACCUGGGGAUUCUCUAUGCCCUCACAGCUCAGGCCAGCAUCAGUUUUGUUUAUAAGGGUAUCAGAAAGGCACUUGGGAAUGUAGGUCGAUCUUCGGAUUUACUGUUAUAGCCCUUGGGUUGGAUAGAUGGCUCUCGAGACUGAGGACUGCGGUGCGCUUCCGUAUUGGGCGGCCAUUCGCUGGGCAAAGUGGCGGCAAGUGUCAGUCUGACUGGGCUUGUUGACCAUGAUGUCCACGGGUGGUGUCCUCUGCCGCGCACCAAGGAUGCUGGUGGUAACGGUUCUAAUCGA
RNAcentral lists this ribosomal RNA (347 nucleotides) under Ramicandelaber sp. Its description in RNAcentral is "partial large subunit ribosomal RNA". Lineage: Eukaryota; Fungi; Kickxellomycota; Ramicandelaberales; Ramicandelaberaceae. The record is from RNAcentral.